This 629-nucleotide ribosomal RNA is filed under the name uncultured candidate division SR1 bacterium. RNAcentral describes it as "bacterial SSU rRNA". It matches the Rfam family "Bacterial small subunit ribosomal RNA", at positions 460 to 1083 of the family's 1533-position model. The record is from RNAcentral. Lineage: Bacteria; Candidatus Absconditibacteriota.
GAAAGACGAAUGACGGUACACCAAGAAUAAGAGACGGCUAACUACGUGCCAGCAGCCGCGGUAAUACGUAGGUCUCAAGCGUUAUCCGGAUUUACUGGGCGUAAAGUAUCCGUAGCCUGAUAUGUAAGUCUGUUUUCAAAUCCCACGACUCAAUCGUGGAAAGGGAAUGGAUACUGCAUAUCUAGAAGUUAUUGGGGGUUAGUGGAAUUUCCGGUGGAGCGGUGAAAUGCGUUGAUAUCGGAAAGAACGCCGAAAGCGAAAGCAGCUAACUAUGAUUAACUUGACGGUGAGGGAUGAAAGUUUGGGUAGCAAACGGGAUUAGAUACCCCGGUAGUCCAAACUGUAAAUUAUGCUUGCUAGGUGUUUCGAUCCUUGUGUCGGAGUGCCGUAAUCUAACGAGUUAAGCAAGUCGCCUGGGUAGUAUAUUCGCAAGAAUGAAACUCAAAGGGAUAGGCGGGGGAACACACAAGCAGUGGAUUAUCUAGAUUAAUUGGAUAAUAAGCCAAGAAUCUUACCUAGAAUUGACAUGCAUUGUGUCUCAUAUGAAAGUAUGAUAUUUGUAGCAAUACAGAGCUUUGCACAGGUGGUGCAUGGUCGUCGUCAGCUCGUGCCGCAAGGUGUCUAGUUAA